GACCUCAAAUCAGGUAGGGCUACCCGCUGAACUUAAGCAUAUCAAUAAGCGGAGGAAAAGAAACUAACAAGGAUUCCCCUAGUAGCGGCGAGCGAACCGGGACGAGCUCAAAUUUGAAAUCUGGCGCCCUCCGGGCGUCCGAGUUGUAAUCUACAGAAGCGUCUUCCGCGCCGGACCGUGUCCAAGUCCCUUGGAACAGGGUAUCAAAGAGGGUGACAAUCCCGUGCUUGACACGACGACCGGUGCUCUGUGAUGCGCUCUCCACGAGUCGAGUUGUUUGGGAAUGCAGCUCAAAACGGGUGGUAAAUUCCAUCUAAAGCUAAAUAUUGGCAAGAGACCGAUAGCGAACAAGUACCGUGAGGGAAAGAUGAAAAGCACUUUGGAAAGAGAGUUAAACAGUAUGUGAAAUUGUUGAAAGGG
Molecule: ribosomal RNA, 420 nt
Filed under: Biatoropsis hafellneri
Lineage: Eukaryota; Fungi; Basidiomycota; Tremellomycetes; Tremellales; Tremellaceae
Description: partial large subunit ribosomal RNA
Rfam family: Eukaryotic large subunit ribosomal RNA
Source: RNAcentral